Molecule: small RNA, 124 nt
Filed under: Marmota monax (woodchuck)
Lineage: Eukaryota; Metazoa; Chordata; Mammalia; Rodentia; Sciuridae
Source: RNAcentral
GCCAGGUGCAGUGGCACACUCCUGUAAUCCCAGUGGCUUGGGGGCUGAGACAGGAGGAUCGCAAGUUUAAAGGCAAUCUCAGCAACAGUGAGGUGCUAAGCAACUCAGUGAGACCCUGUCUCUA